RNAcentral lists this ribosomal RNA (305 nucleotides) under uncultured bacterium. RNAcentral's name for it is "bacterial SSU rRNA". It matches the Rfam family "Bacterial small subunit ribosomal RNA", at positions 335 to 639 of the family's 1533-position model. The record is from RNAcentral.
AGCCUACGGGAGGCAGCAGUGAGGAAUAUUGGUCAAUGGGCGGGAGCCUGAACCAACCAAGCCGCGUGAGGGAAGAAGGUACAGCGUAUCGUAAACCUCUUUUGUCAGGGAACAAGGGCGGGGACUAGUCCCCGGAUGAGGGUACCUGAAGAAAAAGCAUCGGCUAACUCCGUGCCAGCAGCCGCGGUAAUACGGAGGAUGCGAGCGUUAUCCGGAUUUAUUGGGUUUAAAGGGUGCGUAGGCGGUUUAUUAAGUCUGUGGUUUAAGUCCGAAGCUCAACUUCGGUGCGCCAUAGAAACUGAUAG